Molecule: long non-coding RNA, 3956 nt
Filed under: Triticum aestivum (bread wheat)
Lineage: Eukaryota; Viridiplantae; Streptophyta; Magnoliopsida; Poales; Poaceae
Description: long non-coding RNA (TAES_LNC026984)
Source: RNAcentral
GACUGGAGCUGCGCGGCACGGCAGUGGCCCGCGGCGGAGGGGAGCAGGCUCCCGGCUGUUGGCUCGCGCUGCUGCGGCUGCUGAAGCAUCCAUGGAGUCGCCAACCCCCAAGUCGCCGUACGAGUGAGUUCCCGAGCCCCAGCGUCACGCCUGAACCUCAUGCCCCAACCUGUGCUGUUUGAAAUAGCCUUUUACCUGUGCUCUUUUUACCUGAAACUUGUAGGUUGGAGCCAACGAAUGAACUAGCACUAGCGCACAUCAUCCCUUCCUAGGGUAAGUUCUUGUCAGGCCAUGGUUCUUGUAGAUAAAGCGUCCAAGCCCUACUUUAUUUCGUUAGUGUAGGCAGUAGGCAGUAGGCUACUUUUUUGUUAAACGAAAAAUUCAAAAUCUUACAUCUGGGUGAAGUCCUUUUCUAUUUUCUUAUAGCUACAAUUCUCAGAGUUUGAAUUGAUUCAGAUUAUGUUUGUCUUAUUAAACAGAAGGAAUCAUGCAUCCGGGAAGGAUGUAUGAUUCUGGUGCUUCAAACCGAAGGAAUAAACAAAAACUAGAUAUUUGGUUUCUUGUUUACUACAGAUAGGCUGCGAUCCUUGGAUUAGUUUCCUAAAUAUUGUAACAAAUAAGAUAUAUUUGAAGUUAAAUAAUUAACUGCGAAUUUGUCUAGCUUUCCUUUAUCUUACUUUCUACUUGCUUUUCGUCAAAUACAGUUGUCAUCACAUGCGCAGAUGAACUGGAUCGAUCUAUUCAGGUAAUCCAAUACUUUCAGUGCAACAAUGUGGUGAAACAGAAAUAGAUUUGCACAAAGAAUUUCACAGCUCAUGUGGAUGUAGCACUAAAUUUCUUUAUGCGCCGAGCUUGAACAGAACUCCCUGGUUGAAGAUGUGCGCUUAGCUUAUUAUUUUCUUGGAACAAUGAUUUAUAAUGAUUCACUUGAUUUUGGUUUGACGCAAACAUAUAGAUAGAUUUAACAAGGUAAUAGCAAGCCCGUGUGACAUUAUAUGCAAUCUCUGUUUGUAGAUGCUCUAUAUUAUGACAUUUAUCUAAUUAAAAUUUACUGAAAUAAAAAUGGCUACAGUGUAACUUAUAGAUCAUUUUUUUGUAGGUUAAAUCUAGGAAAUCGUAUGUCGUCAAAACUCUAACAAGCCAUCAGAUUGUUAUGACAGUAUCCUUACUGCAAUGAAAAAUCACUUCAAAAGAUUCAUAUUCUCAUUCUGAUGACCAAUACGAACAAAGUAUAUCGCAAUUUCUGUGUGCUGGAAGGAGAAACUCACACACAAGAAAAGCUAUGGUAUUUCAUGUUAAGUUUGCACGUACAGACCUGCAAUGAUUGAGUUAGUUCAAAUUAUUGUGUGCUAUAUUACUAACCUGCUCUUUGUAGUUUGUAUUUAUGGACAUUUAUCAUGCUGUUUUAUGGUCAUUUUAAUAAUGUUUCCCUUUUCAAAUAUUUGUUAUGAUGAUGUAUAAUUAGGUUAGCUUGAAAAAGGGAGGAUGAUGCUAUUAGCUAUUCUUGAGCUAGGAGCUCCUAAUUAAGUGUCCUUUUAGUUUCCGUAUUACGGCUUUGUUGUACUGAUAGAACAGUAGGUUGGCACUUCUUCUGUCAUGUUAUUUUUUUACCCAUUGCCCUUUUCUAAUAGUGUGGUACUAUUCUGUUACAAAGUAAAUUCUUUUCCUAGAUCACACUUUCAUAUUUGGUUUCGAAAAUAAUUGUCUUUUGUGAAGAUCCAUCUCUGAAUAUUUUAGUUAAUGAACAGCAGUCUUACUGCCUAAUCUUAAACUAAUUGUUUGAACUUUUCAUAGAGAUCAGAAUUGUACAUAGACAGCUGGUUAUAAACUUAUAAUGAGUUGUCUUAGUACAUCUUGAAUAAUUGAUGACUGGAUGUUUUGUACAAAACUUUGCUUCAGUACGGUUUCGGAUGGUGAAUAAAUUAAUGAAGAACGUUUCUUAUGCAUGUGGAAUCACCUGGUAAUUUUCUUAGGAACGUGGUUUUCCUAUUCCACAGUGAAAUCUGAGGUUGCCUUUAAACUACAAAAAAGGAACUGGUGAUGCUGCCAUUGUGUGGCCUCUUACGAUAUAUUUUUGGACCUGUUACUAGAUGGCACACGCAUUAGCUGCCAUAAGAAACAAAUCAUUUUCUAUUUUAAUAUGUCAGCUGAGACGCGUUUGACUACCUUCUUACUUAUUAUGCAGGGCACCAAGUAACGAAUAAUUGGAUCUCAAAGCUCAUAUAUGAAGAACCGAUCUUGGUAGUGGCAUAAAUGGAAGAUGAGAUCUAUGAAUAACAAAUACAAUAAUUACCUGUAGUUUCUAUAAUUUUCAAAGUUUGUAUUCUCUUCAAGAUUUUCAGUCGUUCAAGCUCACAAAUAAGAUACAUAUGGGCAUCAAUUCUAUCAGGUUUUUACACACAUGCUUUAUUUUUGAAGUAAAGAAGCAAGGAAAAACUCAGGUAAAUGCACCAAAAAUGAGAUGUCAUCAAAAGUGUUUAAGUUAUUGCAACAUCACUUUUUAUGAUUUCGUGUACAUCUGAAUUUGUAUUUGUUAGCAUUAAUCAUGGAAAAAAUAAACAAUUUUCUUUCCCUAUAUAAGCAAUCAUAAAUUUGCAUGUUUCCAAUAAAACAAGUGGGUAAAUGUAGUACUUUUAUAUUUUAUAUCUCUAAAUAUGGUUUAUCAAAUAAAUGCUUUAGUGUGCGGAUGCACGGGUUGACGACUAGUCCUAUUAAUUACUAAUACAUCAAGGAUCUUCAUGUUGUUGGUUUUCUUACAAAUCCACUCAUUGGUAAUGAUGGUUUAAUUUCUUUGAUAUUUUCUUCAGUUUAGGGACAGCAGCAGUUUUACCACCGAUGGUGUUGCAUGUAAGCUGGAUGUUCUCAUUGUUCUCUUGGCUCUGAUCGGGUGAGUUCUUCCCUAUUUCCUUUUACGGUAGUACGGUUGUAUGCAUAUGCCUCUUGAUAUUUACCAACUCUUCUUAGGAUUGCCUAACUAGCAUAUAUAUUCUCAGAAAAAUUAUCAUCUACGGCCCAUUGUCAGCUAUACAACUUUUGAAUUCUGUGAAGUUCAGUUCAGAUUUGAUAGCUAUGUCAAAACUCAAUAUUGUAUAACAUGUUUUUUGUAUGAGUGAUAUCAGCUUUCUGAGUCAGGUAAUUUUAUGGUAAGUGCUUAACUUGAUGACUUUGUAAACUUGCAAGACAGAAAUUUCAUUCUGUAAGGAAGUGAAAGACCUUCUCAUUUUCUGAUUGUUCUACCUCUCUGACUGAAACAGGAACUUUCGCGCAAAGAAAACACACACAGGGCAGGAAGGGGAAAACAUAUAGAAGGAGUCUCUCUAUUGGAAGGGGAAAAUAUAAUAUUAGACACCAUUUAUUUUUCUGCUCGCUGAUGCAUGCAAUGUAUCAUUUGGCCUUGAUUUAAUGUACUGCACUUUUCUUCAUUGCUCUCUGUUCUUUAAUAAGGCAGACUCAUAUAGAACCUGAUAUUUCUUAGUGAUGUCUUCAGAUCCCAUGAAUGUCAUUUUGCACCGAAGGUUUGUAACCGUUGGGGAAUGUUUUCUUGCUCUGAUGUAUCAAGUUGCCAUGGGGGUGAUCUAGAGGUGAAAGCUAGCAAGCCAUCUCCUGAUAUUUUCCUUAAUAGCAAGCUUAAUGCGGAACACUUAUAUUUCAGUACUUGUUUGUUUAAUUGUGUUAUUUAUCUGCAGGUCUCUUCCUUGUCCAAAGUAUGUCAUACCUAAUCAAGACAUGUUCAUUUAAUUUACCCGUCAUGUAAAUGACACAACAUGAUUCACUUGUGUAUAGUGUAAACAUAUAUUUAUUUAUGGCAAGCAGGUGUUCAAAUUAUAGUUGUGAAACGUGUAUAGUGUAAGGAUAUAAUUAUUAAGGGAAGUGACGUCACAGUGGUCGUGCCUGGUCUUCUCCGAGUCUAUGCUUGUGGUUUGUGUUCUUUAGAUCUGUUCAUGCCCUUAUAUUGC